Molecule: ribosomal RNA, 497 nt
Filed under: uncultured bacterium
Lineage: Bacteria
Description: partial 16S ribosomal RNA
Rfam family: Bacterial small subunit ribosomal RNA
Source: RNAcentral
GACGAACGCUGGCGGCGUGCCUAAUACAUGCAAGUUGAGCGCUGAAGGUUGGUACUUGUACCAACUGGAUGAGCAGCGAACGGGUGAGUAACGCGUGGGGAAUCUGCCUUUGAGCGGGGGACAACAUUUGGAAACGAAUGCUAAUACCGCAUAAAAACUUUAAACACAAGUUUUAAGUUUGAAAGAUGCAAUUGCAUCACUCAAAGAUGAUCCCGCGUUGUAUUAGCUAGUUGGUGAGGUAAAGGCUCACCAAGGCGAUGAUACAUAGCCGACCUGAGAGGGUGAUCGGCCACAUUGGGACUUGGACACGGCCCAAACUCCUACGGGAGGCAGCAGUAGGGAAUCUUCGGCAAUGGACGGAAGUCUUACCGGGCAACGCCGCGUGGGGGAAGAAGGUUUUCGGAUCGUAAAACUCUGUUUGUAGGGAAGAACGUUGGUGAGAGUGGAAAGCUCAUCAAGUGACGGUAACUACCCAGAAAGGGACGGCUAACUACGUG